RNAcentral lists this ribosomal RNA (499 nucleotides) under Escherichia coli. RNAcentral describes it as "partial 23S ribosomal RNA". It matches the Rfam family "Bacterial large subunit ribosomal RNA", at positions 396 to 897 of the family's 2925-position model. The record is from RNAcentral. Lineage: Bacteria; Pseudomonadati; Pseudomonadota; Gammaproteobacteria; Enterobacterales; Enterobacteriaceae.
GCUGUGAGCUCGAUGAGUAGGGCGGGACACGUGGUAUCCUGUCUGAAUAUGGGGGGACCAUCCUCCAAGGCUAAAUACUCCUGACUGACCGAUAGUGAACCAGUACCGUGAGGGAAAGGCGAAAAGAACCCCGGCGAGGGGAGUGAAAAAGAACCUGAAACCGUGUACGUACAAGCAGUGGGAGCACGCUUAGGCGUGUGACUGCGUACCUUUUGUAUAAUGGGUCAGCGACUUAUAUUCUGUAGCAAGGUUAACCGAAUAGGGGAGCCGAAGGGAAACCGAGUCUUAACUGGGCGUUAAGUUGCAGGGUAUAGACCCGAAACCCGGUGAUCUAGCCAUGGGCAGGUUGAAGGUUGGGUAACACUAACUGGAGGACCGAACCGACUAAUGUUGAAAAAUUAGCGGAUGACUUGUGGCUGGGGGUGAAAGGCCAAUCAAACCGGGAGAUAGCUGGUUCUCCCCGAAAGCUAUUUAGGUAGCGCCUCGUGAAUUCAUCUCC